AGAAGAAAAAACGGUGUACUUCCUAAUGACAUUAUCACCACCAGAGGGCGGGUGUUGGUAGAAGGAAAUUGUUAUUUAUUUUCGUACAUAUUUUCAUGACCGAACAGUGCACACUGCAGUUAUCCAAUUUUUGUUUUAUAUUCUCGCGCCCGACUAAAUAGAAAAACACACAAACUCAUAUAAGCACAUAACCACUCACAUAUUGGGAGGCUUGGGAAAGCUGACAGUUGGAAUGUGUAAGAAUGGCAAACAAACUGAGAUAUUGUAGGUUAGAGCGUGAAUAUGUGUAUGUGCAUAGGUAUGCCAUACAAGUGAACUGUACAUAAAGAGCUCAUAUUGGGAAACUGGGUGACUACUUAAACGUGCAUACUGGCUGCAGUGUCGCACUGACGCACCGACGUCGCAAUCAGUUUGAUAUGCUAUUUUUAGAAUCUCGACAGAAUUAAGGUUGCAGUGACAAAACAAAAGGAAAAACACAGCUAUUGACUAUGUCGUAGUGGUGCUGCAAUUAACGGCGCUGUUGAAAUUUGUUGUUGUUGCUUUUGCUGUAUGCACGUGUAUGAAUGAAACGGUUAGGCGAUGGGAAAAGUAGCCAUAAAAGCAAUAACAACUUAUACUAAAAUCUAUGCGCUGAUAAGGGGAUUCACUGGCGUUAUCGCUGCUAUUUGCACACUUUCGUCAUAUCGCUUCGCAGAAAUUUCACAAAUAUGUGAAAAAAUCACUAUCGACUAUUCAAAAAAAAUAAUAAUAAUAAC
Molecule: long non-coding RNA, 755 nt
Organism: Bactrocera latifrons
Lineage: Eukaryota; Metazoa; Arthropoda; Insecta; Diptera; Tephritidae
Exons: 3
Source: RefSeq, a predicted model, not a curated record